Molecule: ribosomal RNA, 477 nt
Filed under: uncultured Actinomycetes bacterium
Lineage: Bacteria; Bacillati; Actinomycetota; Actinomycetes
Description: bacterial SSU rRNA
Rfam family: Bacterial small subunit ribosomal RNA
Source: RNAcentral
UAUGUGCCAGCAGCCGCGGUGACACGUAGGCUCCAAGCGUUGUCCGGAUUUAUUGGGCGUAAAGAGUUCGUAGGCGGUCGAGUAAGUCGGGUGUGAAAAUUCUGGGCUCAACCCAGAAACGCCACCCGAUACUGCUUAACUUGAGUUCGAUAGGGGAGUGGGGAAUUCCUAGUGUAGCGGUGAAAAUGCGCAGAUAUUAGGAGGAACACCGGUGGCGAAGGCGCCACUCUGGAUCGAUACUUGACGCUGAGGAACGAAAGCAUGGGUAGCCAAAACAGGAUUAGAUACCCCUGGUAGUUCCACGCCCCUAAAACCGAUGUCAAACUGGGUUGUUKGGGGUCUUUCACUUGGACUUCAGUAACCGAAGCUAACGCGUGAAGUUGACCGCCUGGGGGAAGUACCGGCCGCAAGGUUGAAAACUCAAAGGGAAUUGACGGGGGACCCCGCACAAGCCGGUGGAUGAAUGUGGGUUUAAAU